UGAGAGGAUUGGGAUGUCCUCUGGGUGG
This 28-nucleotide small RNA is filed under the name Bombyx mori (domestic silkworm). RNAcentral describes it as "ovarian small RNA-32151". Lineage: Eukaryota; Metazoa; Arthropoda; Insecta; Lepidoptera; Bombycidae. The record is from RNAcentral.